GCCUUAAUAGCUCAGUGGUAGAGCGUUCCACUCGUACGACAAGAAAUGGAAAGGUCGGGUGUUCAAUCCACCUUUGAGGCA
Molecule: transfer RNA, 81 nt
Organism: Melampsora larici-populina 98AG31
Lineage: Eukaryota; Fungi; Basidiomycota; Pucciniomycetes; Pucciniales; Melampsoraceae
Rfam family: tRNA
About the family: Transfer RNA (tRNA) molecules are approximately 80 nucleotides in length.
Source: Rfam